AGCAGCCGCGGUAAUUCCAGCUCCAAUAGCGUAUAUUAAAGUUGUUGCAGUUAAAAAGCUCGUAGUUGAAUUUCGGGGUCAGUAGGUUGGUCGUGCCACCGGUACGUACUGGUCUCACUGAUUCCUCCUUCCUGAUGAGCUGUAAUGCCAUUAAUUUGGUGUUGCAGGGAAUCUGGACUGUUACUUUGAAAAAAUUAGAGUGUUUAAAGCAGGCUAACGCUUGAAUACAUUAGCAUGGAAUAAUGAAAUAGGACGUUCGAUCCUAUUUUGUUGGUUUCUAGGAUUGACGUAAUGAUUAAUAGGGAUAGUUGGGGGCAUUAGUAUUCAAUUGUCAGAGGUGAAAUUCUUGGAUUUAUUGAAGACUAACUACUGCGAAAGCAUUUGCCAAGGAUGUUUUCAUUAAUCAAGAACGAAAGUUAGGGGAUCGAAGACGAUCAGAUACCGUCGUAGUCUUAACCAUAAACUAUGCCGACUAGGGAUCGGAUGAUGUUAAUUUUUUAA
This 501-nucleotide ribosomal RNA is filed under the name uncultured Glomus. RNAcentral's name for it is "SSU rRNA". It matches the Rfam family "Eukaryotic small subunit ribosomal RNA", at positions 569 to 1074 of the family's 1831-position model. Lineage: Eukaryota; Fungi; Glomeromycota; Glomeromycetes; Glomerales; Glomeraceae. The record is from RNAcentral.